GACGAACGCUGGCGGCGUGCUUAACACAUGCAAGUCGAACGGAAAGGCCCUGCUUUUGUGGGGUGCUCGAGUGGCGAACGGGUGAGUAACACGUGAGUAACCUGCCCUUGACUUAGGGAUAACUUCAGGAGACUGGGGCUAAUACCGGAUAGGAGCUCCUGCUGCAUGGUGGGGGUUGGAAAGUUUCGGCGGUUGGGGAUGGACUCGCGGCUUAUCAGCUUGUUGGUGGGGUAGUGGCUUACCAAGGCUUUGACGGGUAGCCGGCCUGAGAGGGUGACCGGCCACAUUGGGACUGAGAUACGGCCCAGACUCCUACGGGAGGCAGCAGUGGGGAAUAUUGCACAAUGGGCGGAAGCCUGAUGCAGCAACGCCGCGUGCGGGAUGACGGCCUUCGGGUUGUAAACCGCUUUCGCCUGUGACGAAGCGUGAGUGACGGUAAUGGGUAAAGAAGCACCGGCUAACUACGUG
RNAcentral lists this ribosomal RNA (468 nucleotides) under uncultured bacterium. RNAcentral's name for it is "partial 16S ribosomal RNA". It matches the Rfam family "Bacterial small subunit ribosomal RNA", at positions 28 to 507 of the family's 1533-position model. The record is from RNAcentral.